This is a non-coding RNA of Podarcis lilfordi (Lilford's wall lizard), 73 nucleotides long. The record is from the annotation of a GenBank genome assembly. NCBI's taxonomy places the organism in Eukaryota, Metazoa, Chordata, Lepidosauria, Squamata, Lacertidae.
UCUCAUCUUAGCUCAUUGGGUAGAGCAUGAGACUCUAAAAUCUCAGGGUUGUGGGUUUAAGCCACACAAAGAU